Molecule: ribosomal RNA, 421 nt
Filed under: uncultured bacterium
Lineage: Bacteria
Description: partial 16S ribosomal RNA
Rfam family: Bacterial small subunit ribosomal RNA
Source: RNAcentral
AAUCUUCCGCAAUGGACGAAAGUCUGACGGAGCAACGCCGCGUGAGUGAUGAAGGGUUNCGGCUCNUNAAACUCUGUUGUUAAGGNAGAAUACUUGAGGUAGUAACUGGCCUUGAGAUGACGGUACUUAACCAGAAAGCCACGGCUAACUACGUGCCAGCAGCCGCGGUAAUACGUAGGUGGCAAGCGUUAUCCGGAAUUAUUGGGCGUAAAGCGCGCGUAGGCGGUAAAAUAAGUCUGAUGUGAAAGCCCCCGGCUCAACCGGGGAGGGUCAUUGGAAACUGUUUUACUUGAGUACAGAAGAGGAGAGUGGAAUUCCAUGUGUAGCGGUGAAAUGCGCAGAGAUAUGGAGGAACACCAGUGGCGAAGGCGGCCACCUGGGCUAAUACUGACACUGAGGUUCGAAAGCGUGGGUAGCAAAC